AAAGAAUUUAAGUUUAACUCCCCGAAACUAGGUGAGCUACUUCGAAACAGCUAAUAGAGCAAACCCAUCUCUGUUGCAAUAGAGUGGAACGAUUUCCAAGUAGGGGCGAUAAACCUACCGCACCAAGAGAUAGCUGGUUACUCAAGAAAAGAAUAUUAGUUCAAUCUUAAAUUUUCUAAGUUUUUUAAACAUAUACUAAAUUUAAGAGCUAUUCAAAUAAGGCACAGCUUAUUUGAAAAAGGAUACAACCUAAAAUAUAGGGUAAUAAUAUUAAGAAAAAUAUUAAGUGGGCCUAAAAACAGCCACCUUUUAAAAAACGUUAAAGUUUAUUAUUAUUUAUAUAAAAAUACCACUAUUAUUAUUUAACCCAUAAUUAAUAUUGAGUAAUUCCAUAAUUUUAUGGAAGAUUUUAUGCUAAAACUAGUAAUAAGAAGCAGAACUUCUCCAAAAUGUAAGCCUAAGCCAUUUUAGACACCCUGUUGGCAAUUAACGGUAAUGAAUUAACUUUAAUAACAUUUUACAAGAAAAACUUAAAGAUAAUAACGUCAACCUUACACCAGAACAUUAAUGGAAAGAUUAAAAGAGAAAGAAGGAACUCGGCAAACCUAAACCCCGCCUG
RNAcentral lists this ribosomal RNA (619 nucleotides) under Blommersia angolafa. RNAcentral's name for it is "partial 16S ribosomal RNA". The stretch from base 1 to 415 matches the Rfam family "Bacterial large subunit ribosomal RNA", at positions 694 to 1297 of the family's 2925-position model. Lineage: Eukaryota; Metazoa; Chordata; Amphibia; Anura; Mantellidae. The record is from RNAcentral.